AACAUCGCGCACCUGCGGGAACCUGCGGAAGGAUCAUUAAUGAUUGGUGGCUGUUGCUGACUAGUGUUUCUAGUAUGUGCACGCCACACCUUCAAUCCCACUUACACCUGUGCACCUUCUGUAAUAGAUCUAUGUGGAUACGGAGAUAUGAAAGUUUGCGCUCUCGUACUCUGUUGAAGCAGUCUACUACGUUUUUUACACACACACAAUAGUCAUUGAAUGUAUUUUUUAUUCUUAUGA
This 240-nucleotide unclassified non-coding RNA is filed under the name soil metagenome. RNAcentral's name for it is "partial contains 5.8S ribosomal RNA, internal transcribed spacer 2, and large subunit ribosomal RNA". The record is from RNAcentral.